Neolamprologus brichardi is the source of this 286-nucleotide non-coding RNA. NCBI's taxonomy places the organism in Eukaryota, Metazoa, Chordata, Actinopteri, Cichliformes, Cichlidae. The record is from RefSeq and is a predicted model, not a curated record.
AGCUGCCACACCUGUAGUCAAUCCACCAGCUGCUGCCCAUCAACGACCAUCUUCAGCAGGGCUACUUAAUGGUGUGGCUGAGCGACAGACAGCGCUGGAGUAUUGCACUAAGCCUGGGAUUGACGGAGGAUUCACGGACACAAAGGAAGCACUUGGAGGAGAGACGGGCACUCACUACCACGCACGGGCUUACACGGAAGGAGGGACGCACUAUCACCAUCGUUGCACAUUUUGAACUGUUGUCACCUUGCUGCACUGUAAAUAAAUGCACUGUCAUUAUUUCUGA